Molecule: ribosomal RNA, 523 nt
Filed under: uncultured Alternaria
Lineage: Eukaryota; Fungi; Ascomycota; Dothideomycetes; Pleosporales; Pleosporaceae
Description: eukaryotic LSU rRNA
Rfam family: 5.8S ribosomal RNA (bases 177-330)
Source: RNAcentral
AGGGAUCAUUACACAAAUAUGAAGGCGGGCUGGAACCUCUCGGGGUUACAGCCUUGCUGAAUUAUUCACCCUUGUCUUUUGCGUACUUCUUGUUUCCUUGGUGGGUUCGCCCACCACUAGGACAAACAUAAACCUUUUGUAAUUGCAAUCAGCGUCAGUAACAAAUUAAUAAUUACAACUUUCAACAACGGAUCUCUUGGUUCUGGCAUCGAUGAAGAACGCAGCGAAAUGCGAUAAGUAGUGUGAAUUGCAGAAUUCAGUGAAUCAUCGAAUCUUUGAACGCACAUUGCGCCCUUUGGUAUUCCAAAGGGCAUGCCUGUUCGAGCGUCAUUUGUACCCUCAAGCUUUGCUUGGUGUUGGGCGUCUUGUCUCUAGCUUUGCUGGAGACUCGCCUUAAAGUAAUUGGCAGCCGGCCUACUGGUUUCGGAGCGCAGCACAAGUCGCACUCUCUAUCAGCAAAGGUCUAGCAUCCAUUAAGCCUUUUUUUCAACUUUUGACCUCGGAUCAGGUAGGGAUACCCGCU